CUGGUGGGGGGGGCGCUGCCCCGUGAACAAGUCUACAGCUU
Molecule: transfer RNA, 41 nt
Filed under: Cyrtodactylus rivularis
Lineage: Eukaryota; Metazoa; Chordata; Lepidosauria; Squamata; Gekkonidae
Description: partial tRNA-Tyr
Source: RNAcentral